UGGGGAAUAUUGGACAAUGGGGGGAACCCUGAUCCAGCCAUGCCGCGUGUGUGAAGAAGGCCUUAUGGUUGUAAAGCACUUUAAGCGAGGAGGAGGGUACUGGUAUUAAUACUACCAGCUACUGGACGUUACUCGCAGAAUAAGCACCGGCUAACUCUGUGCCAGCAGCCGCGGUAAUACAGAGGGUGCGAGCGUUAAUCGGAUUUACUGGGCGUAAAGCGUGCGUAGGCGGCUAAUUGAGUCGGAUGUGAAAUCCCCGAGCUUAACUUGGGAAUUGCAUUCGAUACUGGUUAGCUAGAGUGUGGGAGAGGAUGGUAGAAUUCCAGGUGUAGCGGUGAAAUGCGUAGAGAUCUGGAGGAAUACCGAUGGCGAAGGCAGCCAUCUGGCCUAACACUGACGCUGAGGUACGAAAGCAUGGGGAGCAAUCAGG
This 430-nucleotide ribosomal RNA is filed under the name Pseudomonadota bacterium. Its description in RNAcentral is "Proteobacteria bacterium partial 16S ribosomal RNA". It matches the Rfam family "Bacterial small subunit ribosomal RNA", at positions 355 to 776 of the family's 1533-position model. Lineage: Bacteria; Pseudomonadati; Pseudomonadota. The record is from RNAcentral.